AGGGGGUUUGAUCAUGGGCUCAGGACGAACGCUGGCGGCGUGCCUAAUACAUGCAAGUCGAGCGAAUCAAUGGGAGCUUGCUCCCUGAGAUUAGCGGCGGACGGGUGAGUAACACGUGGGUAACCUGCCUGUAAGAUUGGGAUAACUCCGGGAAACCGGAGCUAAUACCGGAUAACAUUUUGAACCGCAUGGUUCAAAAUUGAAAGGUGGCUUUUGCUACCACUUACAGAUGGACCCGCGGCGCAUUAGCUAGUUGGUGAGGUAACGGCUCACCAAGGCAACGAUGCGUAGCCGACCUGAGAGGGUGAUCGGCCACACUGGGACUGAGACACGGCCCAGACUCCUACGGGAGGCAGCAGUAGGGAAUCUUCCGCAAUGGACGAAAGUCUGACGGAGCAACGCCGCGUGAACGAUGAAGGCCUUCGGGUCGUAAAGUUCUGUUGUUAGGGAAGAACAAGUACCAGAGUAACUGCUGGUACCUUGACGGUACCUAACCAGAANGCCACGGCUAACUACGUGCCAGCAGCCGCGGUAAUACGUAGGUGGCAAGCGUUGUCCGGAAUUUAUUGGGCGUAAAGCGUACGCAGGCGGUUUCUUUAAGUCUGAUGUGAAAGCCCACGGCUCAACCGGGGAGGGUCAUGGGAAACUGGGGAACUUGGAUUAGAAAGAGGAGAGUGGAAUUCCACGUGUAGCGGUG
This 697-nucleotide ribosomal RNA is filed under the name uncultured Bacillota bacterium. Its description in RNAcentral is "bacterial SSU rRNA". It matches the Rfam family "Bacterial small subunit ribosomal RNA", at positions 1 to 683 of the family's 1533-position model. Lineage: Bacteria; Bacillati; Bacillota. The record is from RNAcentral.